AGAUUGAACGCUGGCGGCAUGCCUUACACAUGCAAGUCGAACGGCAGCACGGGUGCUUGCACCUGGUGGCGAGUGGCGAACGGGUGAGUAAUACAUCGGAACAUGUCCUGUAGUGGGGGAUAGCCCGGCGAAAGCCGGAUUAAUACCGCAUACGAUCUUUGGAUGAAAGCGGGGGACCUUCGGGCCUCGCGCUAUAGGGUUGGCCGAUGGCUGAUUAGCUAGUUGGUGGGGUAAAGGCCUACCAAGGCGACGAUCAGUAGCUGGUCUGAGAGGACGACCAGCCACACUGGGACUGAGACACGGCCCAGACUCCUACGG
Molecule: ribosomal RNA, 318 nt
Filed under: Burkholderia pyrrocinia
Lineage: Bacteria; Pseudomonadati; Pseudomonadota; Betaproteobacteria; Burkholderiales; Burkholderiaceae
Description: bacterial SSU rRNA
Rfam family: Bacterial small subunit ribosomal RNA
Source: RNAcentral